Molecule: ribosomal RNA, 484 nt
Filed under: uncultured bacterium
Lineage: Bacteria
Description: partial 16S ribosomal RNA
Rfam family: Bacterial small subunit ribosomal RNA
Source: RNAcentral
AUUGAACGCUGGCGGCAGACCUAACACAUGCAAGUCGAGCGGAUGAAGGGAGCUUGCUCCUGGAUUCAGCGGCGGACGGGUGAGUAAUGCCUAGGAAUCUGCCUGGUAGUGGGGGAUAACGUCCGGAAACGGGCGCUAAUACCGCAUACGUCCUGAGGGAGAAAGUGGGGGAUCUUCGGGCCUCACGCUAUCAGAUGAGCCUAGGUCGGAUUAGCUAGUUGGUGGGGUAAAGGCCUACCAAGGCGACGAUCCGUAACUGGUCUGAGAGGAUGAUCAGUCACACUGGAACUGAGACACGGUCCAGACUCCUACGGGAGGCAGCAGUGGGGAAUAUUGGACAAUGGGCGAAAGCCUGAUCCAGCCAUGCCGCGUGUGUGAAGAAGGUCUUCGGAUUGUAAAGCACUUUAAGUUGGGAGGAGGGGCAGUAAGUUAAUACCUUGCUGUUUUGACGUUACCAACAGAAUAAGCACCGGCUAACUUCGUG